CCUACGGGUGGCAGCAGUGGGGAAUAUUGGGCAAUGGGCGAAAGCCUGACCCAGCAACGCCGCGUGAAGGAAGAAGGCUUUCGGAUUGUAAACUUCUUUUAAGAGGGAAGAGCAGAAGACGGUACCUCUUGAAUAAGCCACGGCUAACUACGUGCCAGCAGCCGCGGUAAUACGUAGGUGGCAAGCGUUGUACGGAUUUACUGGGUGUAAAGGGCGUGCAGCCGGGAGGACAAGUCAGAGGUGAAAUCCUACGGCUCAAUCGCCGAACUGCAUUUGACACUGUUUAUCUUGAGUACCGGAGAGGUAAUCGGAAUUCCUUGUGUAGCGGUGAAAUGCGUAGAUAUAAGGAAGAACACCAGUGGCGAAGGCAGAUGACUGGACGGCAACUGACGGUGAGGCGCGAAAGCGUGGGGAGCAAACAGGAUUAGAUACCCUUGUAGUC
This 442-nucleotide ribosomal RNA is filed under the name uncultured bacterium. RNAcentral describes it as "partial 16S ribosomal RNA". It matches the Rfam family "Bacterial small subunit ribosomal RNA", at positions 338 to 795 of the family's 1533-position model. The record is from RNAcentral.